CGUGCUCGGUAGAGGUUCAAAAAUGAACUUUAAGAUUAUUUCGGUAUUUCUUUAUCUAUCGGUGGUUCUGAGCAUAGUGGUGCAAAAUAAUGCGUUUGUUCCCCAGGACGACACUGGUUUCCGAAGACGGGCUGCUGAUAUUUCUGGCUGCAAAAAGCAACAAGCUGUCAUCAAAUCUUUCUGUGAGCAAGUGCUUCCCUGCCCAGGUGAACGUAAACUCAAGGAAGAACUCGACUUCAAGAAGACUGCGGACUAUCAUCAGUAACUGCUGACACCGAUACCAGAUUGAGAAUCAAGGAAUGGUCUUUAAAAUACUGCGUAAUAAUAUCAAAAUAGUUGUAGUAAGAAAAAAAUAAACUUGUAGUCGAUGUUAGCUUCAGAUAGAAUUAAAAAGACUCUAAAUUAAGUUA
Long non-coding RNA from Pocillopora damicornis (cauliflower coral), 410 nucleotides. RefSeq lists it as uncharacterized. NCBI's taxonomy places the organism in Eukaryota, Metazoa, Cnidaria, Anthozoa, Scleractinia, Pocilloporidae. The record is from RefSeq and is a predicted model, not a curated record.